This is a non-coding RNA of Erythranthe guttata (spotted monkey flower), 414 nucleotides long. Lineage: Eukaryota; Viridiplantae; Streptophyta; Magnoliopsida; Lamiales; Phrymaceae. The record is from RefSeq and is a predicted model, not a curated record.
GACCAUCAUGACAUAAAAUGCAAGAGAAGACAGAACCAGAAAAAAUCGAUGAUGACAAGGCUUAAUCCCGACGAUCGGAUCUGGAAUCGACAAGCAGAUCUUUGUGAGGGAUUUUUGUGCAGAACAUUGCUUCGUGAUAUUGAUGUUCCGAUCAGGUUCUUGCACAAGCGGGUGAUGGCAGCAAGUGGGACGAUGUUGAGUGAUGAUAAGUUUGUAGUGUUUAUCACCGGGUCACUCUAACCUAACGAAAACCACGAGCAACACUAUCAUAAAUUCGGAAGCUUGUAGUGGAUUUUGAUAAGUUUGUUGUUGAUGCAUAAGUGUUUUUCUACGAUAAGUUUUUAGUGGAUUAACCAUAUAUUACGUUAAUUUUGUAGUGGAUUACUUUAACCUAUAAAGUGGAUUUUGAUAACU